AUUGAACGCUGGCGGCAUGCCUUACACAUGCAAGUCGAACGGCAGCACGGGUGCUUGCACCUGGUGGCGAGUGGCGAACGGGUGAGUAAUACAUCGGAACGUACCUUAUCGUGGGGGAUAACGCAGCGAAAGCUGUGCUAAUACCGCAUACGCCCUGAGGGGGAAAGCGGGGGAUCGAAAGACCUCGCGCGAUUAGAGCGGCCGAUGCCUGAUUAGCUUGUUGGUGGGGUAAAAGCCCACCAAGGCGACGAUCAGUAGCUGGUCUGAGAGGACGAUCAGCCACACUGGGACUGAGACACGGCCCAGACUCCUACGGGAGGCAGCAGUGGGGAAUUUUGGACAAUGGGGGAAACCCUGAUCCAGCAAUGCCGCGUGAGUGAAGAAG
RNAcentral lists this ribosomal RNA (385 nucleotides) under uncultured bacterium. Its description in RNAcentral is "bacterial SSU rRNA". It matches the Rfam family "Bacterial small subunit ribosomal RNA", at positions 29 to 413 of the family's 1533-position model. The record is from RNAcentral.